CGUGUAGGCGGCCUGCUAAGUCUGAAGUGAAAGUCCUGCUUUCAAGGUGGGAAGUGCUUUGGAUACUGGUGGGCUGGAGUGCAGGAGAGGAAAGCGGAAUUACCGGUGUAGCGGUGAAAUGCGUAGAGAUCGGUAGGAACACCAGUGGCGAAGGCGGCUUUCUGGACUGAAACUGACGCUGAGGCGCGAAAGCGUGGGGAGCAAACA
This 207-nucleotide ribosomal RNA is filed under the name uncultured bacterium. RNAcentral describes it as "partial 16S ribosomal RNA". It matches the Rfam family "Bacterial small subunit ribosomal RNA", at positions 568 to 774 of the family's 1533-position model. The record is from RNAcentral.